AGUCGGGAAUAUUGGGCAAUGGGCGAAAGCCUGACCCAGCAACGCCGCGUGAAGGAUGAAGGCCCUAGGGUCGUAAACUUCUGUCGAGAGGGAAGAAUGCUUGCGGACCAAUAAUCCGUAAGUUUGACGGUACCUCCAAAGGAAGCACCGGCUAACUCCGUGCCAGCAGCCGCGGUAAUACGGAGGGUGCAAGCGUUGUUCGGAUUUAUUGGGCGUAAAGCGAGUGUAGGCGGCAUAGCAAGUCGGGUGUGAAAUCCCAGGGCCCAACCCUGGAACUGCACCCGAUACUGCUAGGCUAGAAUUCCGGAGAGGGUGGCGGAAUUCCCGGUGUAGGGGUGAAAUCCGUAGAUAUCGGGAGGAACACCAGUGGCGAAGGCGGCCACCUGGACGGUAAUUGACGCUGAGACUCGAAAGCGUGGGUAGCAAACAGGAUUAGAUACCCUGGUAGUCCACGCCGUAAACGGUGAGUGCUCGUCGUCGUGGGUAUUGACCCCUGCGGUGACCAAGUUA
Molecule: ribosomal RNA, 510 nt
Filed under: uncultured bacterium
Lineage: Bacteria
Description: bacterial SSU rRNA
Rfam family: Bacterial small subunit ribosomal RNA
Source: RNAcentral